UACGUAGGGUGCAAGCGUUGUCCGGAAUUAUUGGGCGUAAAGAGCUCGUAGGCGGUUUGUCGCGUCUGCUGUGAAAGACCGGGGCUCAACUCCGGUUCUGCAGUGGGUACGGGCAGACUAGAGUGCAGUAGGGGAGACUGGAAUUCCUGGUGUAGCGGUGAAAUGCGCAGAUAUCAGGAGGAACACCGAUGGCGAAGGCAGGUCUCUGGGCUGUAACUGACGCUGAGGAGCGAAAGCAUGGGGAGCGAACAGG
RNAcentral lists this ribosomal RNA (253 nucleotides) under uncultured bacterium. RNAcentral's name for it is "partial 16S ribosomal RNA". It matches the Rfam family "Bacterial small subunit ribosomal RNA", at positions 524 to 776 of the family's 1533-position model. The record is from RNAcentral.